RNAcentral lists this ribosomal RNA (279 nucleotides) under Salmonella enterica. RNAcentral's name for it is "partial 23S ribosomal RNA". It matches the Rfam family "Bacterial large subunit ribosomal RNA", at positions 542 to 722 of the family's 2925-position model. RNAcentral also lists the same sequence under 1 other name. The record is from RNAcentral. Lineage: Bacteria; Pseudomonadati; Pseudomonadota; Gammaproteobacteria; Enterobacterales; Enterobacteriaceae.
AAAAGAACCUGAAACCGUGUACGUACAAGCAGUGGGAGCCCCACCACUAAGCCAGUGGUGAACUCCACAUACGCAUCCUUUGCUGAGGAUACGGUUAACGGAGCGAAAGCGACGUUCAACCGCAAAAGAAGCAGAGGGGGCUUAGUGGUGGGGUGACUGCGUACCUUUUGUAUAAUGGGUCAGCGACUUAUAUUCUGUAGCAAGGUUAACCGAAUAGGGGAGCCGGAGGGAAACCGAGUCUUAAUUGGGCGUUAAGUUGCAGGGUAUAGACCCGAAACC